RNAcentral lists this transfer RNA (72 nucleotides) under Pseudomonadota bacterium. RNAcentral's name for it is "tRNA-His". It matches the Rfam family "tRNA". Rfam says of the family: Transfer RNA (tRNA) molecules are approximately 80 nucleotides in length. Their secondary structure includes four short double-helical elements and three loops (D, anti-codon, and T loops). Lineage: Bacteria; Pseudomonadati; Pseudomonadota. RNAcentral also lists the same sequence under 1 other name. The record is from RNAcentral.
GCGCCUUUAGCUCAACGGUAGAGCGUCUGACUGUGGCUCAGAAGGUUACGGGUUCGAGCCCCGUAAGGCGCC